AGUCAGCAGUGAGAGUGGUCCUCAGGCCCAGAUAUUUAAGACUGCGCAAACUCUGUUUAUGGAAUGUAAAUGUCUGAGAAAAUAAAGGAAGUAUUCAAGUUCUCGUGCAUUUGGACAAGCACAUAACGAUCUUCCCUUCAUCUGUACUGGCAAACAGGUCUACCCUCAAGGCAUCAUCAACACGAAUAGACUAAUGAUUCAUAACUAAUCAAAAAGACCUUAAAUUUUCAGAAAUUUCACCACUGAUGUCUAGGGUAUGGCCAUUUUAAUGUGUUCUAAGCUGUUUUGACGGGAUUAGUUCUGUUGCUGCUAAAACAUUUAUUUAUUAGUUUUUCAGUAACCUAAUCUUUAUUGUAUAUUUAUGUUUAAAAUGUAAAACGUGCUCCCUGGUGUGCCAUCUGGUCAUAAAGAUACAGGUCCACAUGAUCCUGUCUGUGCAUAUGACAAGUCUGUAGUAUCAGUCGGUCAGACAGUUCACUCCCGCGGUUAUGAAAUACUCCUUGCGUGCAGCCUAAUCCACCCAUCAUUCGACCUUUUGAAAUGUUAUCUACCUUCAUACCCAGACAUCGUAAACACACCUCCUGGGGUAGCAGGGCAGUGAAAACAGGCUCCCGGUGAGCGCAUUGCUGGGUAGCCAAAGUGAGGAACCGAGUGAGAUGGUUGUUGUUAUUACCUGUUAGCAAGUCAGACACCCGCCGCGCGGUCAUUGUAAAGUGCGGCGAGGUUGCCGCGCGGUUCUAUUGUGGCAAGAACGCGGGAAAGGAUUCAAUAAAAAUACUAAGAAUAAUAUUUUUUGUUGGUAAUAACAAAGGCCACAUCGUCACAAAUAAUCCAUGUCAACAUCGUCUUUGUCAUCUUCAUCGUCAAUGUGGUAGCAGAAGCAGGACGCGAUCACUGUACUACAGUACUGCGAUAUUGAGAUGAUGUGAUGUUGUAAUAUUGUAAUUCUGUAAUGUUGUGAUUCUAUGAUAUUGUGAUGCUGCAAUUUUGUGAUGUUGUGAUGCUAUGUGUUCUAAUACGCAAUAUACUUUGCCGCUUUCUUUCACAAAAGACCGACUAGAAAAGUGAGCAAGACUAGAAAAGAAAUCGUCUCUGUGAUUUUCCAGGGUAUACUAAACUUUCAAAGACACAAGAUUAAAGAAGAUGACUAAGUGCACUUGUGGGGGCCAGUCUAAGCAUUUCAAAACAACUUUGUAGAUGAAGGGUAUUUGUAGAACGAGAUACGGAUAUGAGGUCAAGUAACAACGAUUGCCACCACUAUGUUCAGUGUGUGUCUGAACUUCGUCUCUAAACUUAUAUUUUUUAAAGUUUCAGACAUAGUUUCAUUGGUGGGACUGCUGGUAGCUUAGUCGCUGGUGUGCGGCCCCACUGACAAAGAAAACACACAUUCAGAAAGAACUUAGGGGUACCAAAAGCGGGAUUCGAACGCACGAUACCAGAUCCUCGCACUCUCGGUGACAAGCGCCUUACCGUUGUGGCACCGAACGCGGUUCAACCGGUGCGCGUUCCCGUGGUUACUGAUGGACCCUCCGCUUCCAUACCACUAUUAACAUUUUCUCGCACAUACUUUAACAUUAUUAGGUUCUGUGCAACAUUAUUAGGUUACGUGCAAUAUUUGCUUACACGUUACAGGUUGUUUUUUUACUACACAUCUUUAACAUGCUCACAUACAUACAAGAUCUUUACCAGAAGUUACUUAAAUACAGUUAACAGACAGUAUUCGUCUAGUUUGUUCCUCUUUAGCCACUACAAGCAUAUCACACUAACACUAGUGGUCUAGUUUACUUCCCUGCCCUCUGCCCUCUGUUCUAGAUGUUACCAUUCGUCGAGGUCAACAAAAUAACGAUCUUUGUAAUAAGUGAAAUAGAACAGUGAAACUUAAAAAACAAACUUGUUUACCACAGUGCGGUAAGGUUCUGUUUUAUUAAAGCCAGACUCACACAGGUUAGCUAAGUGGAAUGUAAGAAUGUAAGUAUGGCUGUUUACAACAAACUUUCUGCUGAUGAUGGCCAUAAAUGGAGACAUUCCCCUCAACUUCUUCCCCACAUUUAUGUUAACCUUUAUGGGCGAUUUUUAAACGGAAAUCUAGUUUUAUUGCAGACAUUUUCAAAGACUUUUCUUCUACCAGCUUCAUUCAGCCAAGUCAAAGGGCAUGAAACCGGCUUCAGAUAAUUGUGUCUGCUCGACUGCUGCUUUUUAUGAAGUGGAGCCAGUACAGGCACGCGCUUUAAUAAGUACGCCAGGUACAAAGAGAUUUCGCUGUACCACAAUAUCGAAUCCUGCUUCAAUAAACUAGACAAUGUGUCACUGUUUGAUAGAGAUAAGAGUAGAAGCUUCGAGAAAUGAAAGUCUCCUGUAAAGCGCUAUAUAGUGUACGAAAACGAGGCUGGUUAUUAUUUUUAGCGGCGGCCUACGGGAUUCGAAAGCAAGGCAUUGUUCCUGUCGCGUGAGGUAUAUUUGAAAAACGAAGACAACGAAUAGGUAUUAUUUUCUCGCGUGUGUUGAAUUAUAUAAAGCUCACAUUGAAAACAUAGACACUGAUUUCUGUGGUCUUCUACACACGUUUAAAUAUAUAGGUAAAAGAAUUUGACAAACAACUUGUUUGUGACAGGUCCACAAGAGUUGUUUUUAAACAAGUUGGCUGAGAAAAUUGCAAUAUGGAAAUUCCCUAAAUAUGUGCAAGCAUUUCUCCCUUCUGUUAGCUUUCAAACAUUCACAUGCGCAGACGUCAUGGAGGAAACGGGAUCCGCUUACGUUGUCAAGAUUACAGCCAAUGGGAGAGCUGCGAGCGUGAUUUAAGAAGACGUGUCCAUGUAAUUGGGAACUGUCUGGGUACAGAUGAAUAUGUCCACAAGCAUGUUCACACGGGGCGAAGUCUUGAUGCAGGUGAAAAUGUCGAUGCUCGUAUACAGUUUAUCCCAAUCAUAAGUAAAUUAUUACUUUAUAUUUGUGAGAAACUAGUCAAUGUGGAUCAAAAAGGAUCAAUCGGUAGAAAUAGAGAUGUGAGACUACACUUCCUUUUCUGAUUAUUACUUUGUUUACAUCAAAGCUAGUUAAUUAGAUCACACCCGGUUAAAGAUUAAAUUACAGGUCAACAUGUCUUUAGUCUUUGUUACAUUCUGUUGCUAUCUUUGCUCUCUUUUAUUUGUUACAUCAAUUUUUAGCCAAGUUUUCUGUCUGAUAUCUACGCUGUGUAAUAGUAGCAAAGGCAAACACAUAUAUUACUGUUCCACGCCCAUUUCCUCCUGUUGCCACUCGUGCCUGGAUGUUUUGUUGUUGUUGGCUUUUAUUUUGUUGUUGUUGUUGUUUUGUUCUUUGGGGUUUUUUGGUUGUUGUUGUUGUUGUUUUAUUUAUUUUCUUUUUUUUUUUUUUGCUACUAAAACCUGAAUGUUCUGUCAACCACCGAGGGAGAUAAAUGCGAAAACUUGGCGUAGUCUAGCCGCUUCGUUUGCAGGGGAGAGUAACUGAUGUUUAUCUCGCCACUGUUGCACACGACAGCUACUGCGUCAUCCCAGCCUAACGACAGGUAAACACAGGUCACCACACUAUUAGUCGGCUGUUUUCCUGUCCCCAUGAUGGAGAAAUCAAACAAUUCAUGUCUGUUGUCAACAGGCACUCCACUGACCGAUUGUCAACACGGUAUUCCCAUCGGCUUUCAGUCAACAAUGCUUGACAAUUACAAGGCUAAUGGCGACGCCCUCAAAUUCUCCAUAGGCUUCAAGGGAUUCAAGGAACUCAAACUGAACUUCAAAAUGGCUGCUACCAUACAUCCCGUAGCUCGUGACAAGAGCUGUGGGAGCCCAUCGAUGGCUUUGCAACCUUAAUUCAAUUCCUUCCAACAGUUUUCAGACCACAGUCAAAGACUUCUUCCAGAGUCUCCAAAAAAUGAAAUAAUAACAAUGAAAUUAGAAACUUUCCUUUAACCAACAUCUUUUUGCCGGUAGCAUCUGUUAUAUUUUUAUAAAGACUUGCUAAUACAUUGCUUACACGUUU
Pomacea canaliculata is the source of this 3993-nucleotide long non-coding RNA. RefSeq lists it as uncharacterized. The record is from RefSeq and is a predicted model, not a curated record. The transcript has 2 exons. NCBI's taxonomy places the organism in Eukaryota, Metazoa, Mollusca, Gastropoda, Architaenioglossa, Ampullariidae.